This 704-nucleotide ribosomal RNA is filed under the name Pseudotomentella nigra. RNAcentral describes it as "SSU rRNA". It matches the Rfam family "Bacterial small subunit ribosomal RNA", at positions 364 to 948 of the family's 1533-position model. Lineage: Eukaryota; Fungi; Basidiomycota; Agaricomycetes; Thelephorales; Thelephoraceae. The record is from RNAcentral.
UUAGUCAAUGCUCGCAAGAGUGAACUAGCUAACUGAAAUCAAAUUUACGUUAAGUUUGAUAACGUAAGGGAAGAUAAUGACAUUACCUUACUAUUAGUGUUGUCCAAAUAUGGUGCCAGAAGACUCGGUAAGGCCAAAAACGCGAACGUUAGUCGUCUUAAUCAGGCGUAAAGGGUGUGUAGGCUGCAAAAAGUUUUUUCUUUAUUACAAUAAUAAUAAUUCUUUUGCUUUUAAAAAUUUUAAAAGUCUAAAUUUAUAAAAUGUAGACUGAUUAAUUCUAAAAUAUAUGUAAUUAUAUAUCACAUAUAUAAAACUAUAGUAAUUUUUAGUUAAAUAAAGAAAAAAUUAUUUAGUAAAAAAGGAAUUAAUUAAAGUAAAGAUAAAAUGAAUAAGCUAGAAUCAAAUAGAGGAUAUUUAAAUAAUACUUAGAGGAGGGGUGAUAUCUUUAGAUACUAAGUAGAAUAUUAAUGGUGAAAGCUUUUAUCUAUUAAUGAUUGACGCUGAGAAACGAAGGUGAGGAUAGGAAAUAGGAUUAGAUACCCAGAUACCCCUCUCUGUCAACGAUGAAUGGUGGUUGCUAGUUAUAUAAAUUAAUUGGUGGCUAUGUUAACACGAUAACCAUUCCGCCAUGUGAGUACGACUGCAAAGUUGAAAACAAAAAAAUUAGUCGGUCUCGAAGCAAACGAAGUGAAGCAUGUUAUUUA